GAUGAACGCUGGCGGCGUGCCUAAUACAUGCAAGUCGAGCGAACAGACGAGGAGCUUGCUCCUCUGACGUUAGCGGCGGACGGGUGAGUAACACGUGGAUAACCUACCUAUAAGACUGGGAUAACUUCGGGAAACCGGAGCUAAUACCGGAUAAUAUAUUGAACCGCAUGGUUCAAUAGUGAAAGACGGUUUUGCUGUCACUUCUAGAUGGAUCCUCGCCGCAUUAGCUAGUUGGUAAGUUAACGGCUUACCAAGGCAACGAUGCGUAGACGACCUGAGAGGGUGAUCGGCCACACUGGAACUGAGACACGGUCCAGACUCCUACGGGAGGCGGCAGUAGGGAAUCUUCCGCAAUGGGCGAAAGCCUGACGGAGCAACGCCGCGUGAGUGAUGACGGUCUUCGGAUCGUAAAACUCUGUUAUUAGGGAAGAACAAAUGUGUAAGUAACUAUGCACGUCUUGACGGUAACUAAUCAGAAAGCCACGGCUAACUACGUG
Molecule: ribosomal RNA, 497 nt
Filed under: uncultured bacterium
Lineage: Bacteria
Description: partial 16S ribosomal RNA
Rfam family: Bacterial small subunit ribosomal RNA
Source: RNAcentral